RNAcentral lists this long non-coding RNA (720 nucleotides) under Lytechinus variegatus (green sea urchin). RNAcentral's name for it is "uncharacterized LOC121414273". Lineage: Eukaryota; Metazoa; Echinodermata; Echinoidea; Temnopleuroida; Toxopneustidae. The record is from RNAcentral.
AAUUAGAUAACCCUUUUGUUAAAGUCCAUGUUUUGUUAAACUCCAUGUACAGAUGUGGACUGCAUACCUUAGUAACUAAACUGUAGGCAUGAUAGGUUGUCUGGUAUUUUAACAGGCUGGGUUGUCAUAAUAAGUAGACUAUAGUUUAACAGGUGUAUAGGAUUACAGACUCUUUGUGUUUCAUAUUUCUGUUUGGUGUGCUGGCAAGAAAAGCCAAGCCAGCUCACUCUCACUUUUGAUUUCGGAGAAGAAGGUCCAAUUUGGGGUGUUUCCUAACCAAGGAAAAGGGCGUGUGCCACCCUACCCAGUGCGGGGAGGUUCCUUUCUACUCGAUGCCGAAUUACGGCUGUCAACCUAGGGUCAGCCCAGAGUCAAUGUGGAGUCAAUGUAGGUCAGGGUAGCACCUACCCUCUAUGUCCAGGUCAUGAGUCAAAAUGUCAUUCGAGGGGAAUGACUCACUUCAGUCAGCCGAAGCUAUUGUUCGUCGGACUCGACCGUAAUUCUUCCAAGUUAGAGCUUCAACUUAACUCUUGUUCUUCGUUCUUCAAGGACACGUGUCUUCGCUGAUGACGUCAGUCGUGUUCUUCGUCGUCGUCGUCGUCGAUCAUCGGCAUACUUGUUCCUCGUCAUAAUCGUCCAAUCUUCGUAGUCGUCGUGGUUUGUCGAUCUCUUCUGUUUUCGAACUCCGCAUUUACCCGAUUGAAGGUUUGAUCAAGCAAU